UCUUGUGUCUUGUCUAUAGGAAGGGAGUGUAUCCUGGUGUAUGACAGCAUAUAGUAGAGACCAUUGUCAAUUAGGGCCUGUGAACUGAGACAGGGUGACUGGCUAAGUCCACAACCCAUUAGAAACCCAGAAAUAAUCAAAUCAUGGAGAGAUUAGACCAGGGACAAUAAAUAUGGAUUAGGCAAGAAUGUGUUAACUCAGCAGGCCAGGGUUUCUUCAACCCUGCACAUUCAAAGAGGGAUCAUGGAAAGGAAGCUGAAUUUGCCAAGUUUUGCCACGUGGGCAUUGCAUGCCUAUGUGAUUAACCACCAAUAAAAACCUGGGACAUCAAAGAAUAAAUAAGCUGCUCUAAUUGCCAAGAAUUCACAUGUGGUUGUAUGCAGCAUUACUGGGAGAUUGAAGUGUAUCUGCAUGUGAUUCUGCUGUGAUGGACACUUGUAAGUUUGUGCCUGGAGUCUCCUGGACUUUGCCCUGAGAAUCUUUUUCCUUUGUUGAUAUGACUCUGCAUCCUUUUGUUUUAAUAAACUGUAAACAUGAGUAUAAUUGCUUCUCUGAGUUCUGAGAGUUUUUUAAAUAAAUAAUCAAAGCUGAAGAGCAAUGGAGACCCCCACCAAAAUAUCUUUACACAUUUCAAUUUUGUAUUGAAGUAAAUUUUAUUUUCUUUUUUAUACCUCCC
This 676-nucleotide long non-coding RNA is filed under the name Pan troglodytes (chimpanzee). RNAcentral describes it as "lincRNA". Lineage: Eukaryota; Metazoa; Chordata; Mammalia; Primates; Hominidae. The record is from RNAcentral.